ACAGCAACAACAACAACAACAACAACGGAAAAAGGAUUGAGAAAUCCAAAAGAAGACAUCAGCUGGGACUCGGGGAGACACUUGACCUUGGAUUUGGUUACACUGCUUGUUGCUUUUUGAACCCUCGAGGUUUCAAUUUAAGGAUUAAUUAUAUCUGAGGGUAACUGGAAGGCCAUCACCUGACUGCCAAUUCAUAUGACGAGAUAAACAAGUGCAGUGUUGUUGUUCUGUUAGGUACAUCAGUGGGUUGCGUAACACUGCACAAAUGUGUUAUCAGUGGAGUGUGUUUUGAUACUUCUUUGCCCUUGUAUGACAUCCUGGAUCAAGCGGCCAGAUGGUGUGAUUUAGUUGCAGAAUCAAGAUCAAGUGGGGUCAGUAAACCCAUGAUGGUACAAGCCUUGAGUUCGUCUUUGUGAUCUUUAGAGGCAGGAUGUCUAUUUAAUGGUGAGCUGAGUAACAGCUACCCCAUCAACACCUCAGCUUCCUCUUCAACUCUCCCAGACCUGCCACAGCCUCUUCUCGUCACGAGGCUGCUUUCAAACCACUUCACUCGGUCGCUUGAGGUGUUGGACGAGCCUCCAAAAGUCCCAUUUUUCGGUUUUCUCAUUCAACUGCUGAAAUUCACACCAUCCAACGACAGGCAGUGAACACCGGGAUGUGGUUGUUUCAUGCGGACUGACACUGGACACUCCUCCAGGAGUUCAUACGGUCACACUUUGGUCUAAUGAACGCCGAUAUACUGGAGUCAGACCUUUUUUAUCCCUGAAAGAUAAAUGUCUUUAAUUGCCA
Molecule: long non-coding RNA, 789 nt
Organism: Notolabrus celidotus (New Zealand spotty)
Lineage: Eukaryota; Metazoa; Chordata; Actinopteri; Labriformes; Labridae
Exons: 3
Source: RefSeq, a predicted model, not a curated record